RNAcentral lists this microRNA precursor (84 nucleotides) under Xenopus laevis (African clawed frog). RNAcentral describes it as "mir-143 microRNA precursor family". It matches the Rfam family "mir-143 microRNA precursor family". The record is from Rfam by way of RNAcentral. Lineage: Eukaryota; Metazoa; Chordata; Amphibia; Anura; Pipidae.
AGUCUCCCAGCCCAAGGUGCAGUGCUGCAUCUCUGGUCAGUUGUGAGUCUGAGAUGAAGCACUGUAGCUCGGGAAGGGGGAAAC